Molecule: small RNA, 683 nt
Filed under: Pan troglodytes (chimpanzee)
Lineage: Eukaryota; Metazoa; Chordata; Mammalia; Primates; Hominidae
Description: processed transcript
Source: RNAcentral
GUGUGAAUAUCUACAGGAACUCUUUAUUGUCUAUAAAUAGACUUUAUUUUAAACAGAAAACCAGUAAUUAAAAAUUAUUUCUGCUUGUGUUGGUUGUCAUUGGGAAGUAUUUUGUUUAAAUGAGAUAAAAUAUUAAAAGUAUACAGUUUGGUCUCUUUCUUCCCACCCAGGUCCUGCACCCUUCUUAAUUUUCUCCCACGGAAAUAGUAUCUUUAGGAUUGACACAGAAGGAACCAAUUAUGAGCAAUUGGUGGUGGAUGCUGGUGUCUCAGUGAUCAUGGAUUUUCAUUAUAAUGAGAAAAGAAUCUAUUGGGUGGAUUUAGAAAGACAACUUUUGCAAAGAGUUUUUCUGAAUGGGUCAAGGCAAGAGAGAGUAUGUAAUAUAGAGAAAAAUGUUUCUGGAAUGGCAAUAAAUUGGAUAAAUGAAGAAGUUAUUUGGUCAAAUCAACAGGAAGGAAUCAUUACAGUAACAGAUAUGAAAGGAAAUAAUUCCCAUGUUCUUUUAAGUGCUUUAAAAUAUCCUGCAAAUAUAGCAGUUGAUCCAGUAGAAAGGUUUAUAUUUUGGUCUUCAGAGGUGGCUGGAAGCCUUUAUAGAGCAGAUCUCGAUGGUGUGGGAGUGAAGGCUCUGUUGGAGACAUCAGAGAAAAUAACAGCUGUGUCAUUGGAUGUGCUUGAUAAGCGGC